GAAUGAGAAUGAGAAUGAGAGAAUGAUGGUGUGAACCAGGGAAAGCCAGCCUGAGCUGGUCUGCAGCAUGGGCACAGAAAGCGUUGCUUCCUUUGAAAACUAUCAACAAACUACUAAUGUUGACUUUCUUGGCUCUUGACGACCCUCCUCUCCUGUCUUCUGUUUCUUUUUAGAUGGUUUCUUCAAUCUCUGUUGGCUCCUCUCUCCAUCCAUUGUGGGAUCUUAUGGAUUGGGCCUUGGGACUCUGAGAUGCAUGGGGCGCCCAGGGUUCGUCUGAGGACAUGCUGUACAAACUCUAUCUUUUAGUCUCAAUGCCACUGUGGACACUCAGAAAAGCUAUUUUAAAAGCAGCUCAUCAGCCAAAUUUUCCAGGGGAACCACCCUCUCCCCUUCGGACUCCAUUCUGGUAU
Myotis myotis is the source of this 410-nucleotide long non-coding RNA. RefSeq lists it as uncharacterized. The transcript has 3 exons. The record is from RefSeq and is a predicted model, not a curated record. NCBI's taxonomy places the organism in Eukaryota, Metazoa, Chordata, Mammalia, Chiroptera, Vespertilionidae.